Molecule: unclassified non-coding RNA, 139 nt
Filed under: uncultured fungus
Lineage: Eukaryota; Fungi
Description: sequence contains ITS1, 5.8S rRNA gene
Source: RNAcentral
UAGAGUACCUUACUCUCUACCCUUUGUGAACUAUUAUACCCUGUUGCUUCGGCGGCGCCCUCACGGGUGCCCGCCGGAAUAAUCAGAAUCUCUGUUUUCGAACCCGACGAUACUUCUGAGUGUUCUUAGCGAACUGUCA